RNAcentral lists this unclassified non-coding RNA (669 nucleotides) under Hevea brasiliensis (rubber tree). Lineage: Eukaryota; Viridiplantae; Streptophyta; Magnoliopsida; Malpighiales; Euphorbiaceae. The record is from RNAcentral.
GGCAGAGAUGGCUCACAUGUCAGAGGAAACAAAAGAGGAUAAGGAUAGUUAUGGGGUCGUGGAUACUGGAGUUAACGUGCCAGGAGUGAAUAUGGAAACAGAGACUACAAUGGAGGUUGUUGUUAACUUAGCAGAGGACUCUUGGAAGGCAGUGGAAGCUGAUAUCACGGGGACGAUGGAGGGACCAGUAAUGUUGGAUAAGGAUAUGGGGAAGAGGGACGUGGUAGAGGAAACAAAGGAGGAGGCUGCAGACACCGCAGAAGAGGCAGAGAUGGCUCACAUGUCAGAGGAAAUAAAGGAGGCGGCUUUUGUUACGGCAGAAGAGGCAGAGAUGGCUUACAUGGCAGAGGAUACCGUGGAGGUGGAAGAGGAGAAAGGGUUUGCAGCGGAUGUGGAGGAGGAGAAGGAAGGGAUGACUGAAGAAGUUGCGUUGGCAGAGGAGAUGAAGGCAGCAGAGCAGACUGAAAUGACUGACAAUGCAGAGGAAACUAAGGUAGCAGAGGAGACAGAGGAGGUUGUUAAUGAGGAUGGGGACAUGAACGAGAUGGAGAUGGCUGACAUGACAGAGGAAAAUGAACAGGAAGAGGAGAUGGAUGUAACAAAUGCUAAAGAAGAAUCAGGGACGGCUGAAGAAGCAGAUAAUGCAGAGGAGAUGGAACUGGCAGAUGG